GUGGGGGAUAUUGCACAAUGGGCGAAAGCCUGAUGCAGCGACGCCGCGUGAGUGAAGAAGUAUUUCGGUAUGUAAAGCUCUAUCAGCAGGGAAGAAAGACCUCGUAAGAGGGGAUGACGGUACCUGAGUAAGAAGCCCCGGCUAACUACGUGCCAGCAGCCGCGGUAAUACGUAGGGGGCAAGCGUUAUCCGGAUUUACUGGGUGUAAAGGGAGCGUAGACGGUGUAUCAAGUCUGAAGUGAAACCCCACGGCUCAACCGUGGGCUUGCUUUGGAAACUGGUAGACUAGAGUACUGGAGAGGUAAGCGGAAUUCCUGGUGUAGUAGUGAAAUGCGUAGAUAUCAGGAAGAACAUCAGUGGCGAAGGCGGCUUACUGGACAGCAACUGACGUUGAGGCUCGAAGGCGUGGGGAGCAAACAGG
This 421-nucleotide ribosomal RNA is filed under the name uncultured rumen bacterium. Its description in RNAcentral is "bacterial SSU rRNA". It matches the Rfam family "Bacterial small subunit ribosomal RNA", at positions 354 to 776 of the family's 1533-position model. The record is from RNAcentral.